GCCCGGGUGAUGGAAUUGGUAGACAUACAGGACUUAAAAUCCUGGGGCUUUAUUGCCGUGCGGGUUCAAGUCCCGCCCCGGGUA
This 84-nucleotide transfer RNA is filed under the name Leptospiraceae bacterium. Its description in RNAcentral is "tRNA-Leu". It matches the Rfam family "tRNA". Rfam says of the family: Transfer RNA (tRNA) molecules are approximately 80 nucleotides in length. Their secondary structure includes four short double-helical elements and three loops (D, anti-codon, and T loops). Lineage: Bacteria; Pseudomonadati; Spirochaetota; Leptospiria; Leptospirales; Leptospiraceae. The record is from RNAcentral.